This 497-nucleotide ribosomal RNA is filed under the name uncultured bacterium. RNAcentral's name for it is "partial 16S ribosomal RNA". It matches the Rfam family "Bacterial small subunit ribosomal RNA", at positions 28 to 507 of the family's 1533-position model. The record is from RNAcentral.
GAUGAACGCUGGCGGCGUGCCUAAUACAUGCAAGUCGAGCGAACGGACUAGAAGCUUGCUUCUCUGAUGUUAGCGGCGGAAGGGUGAGUAACACGUGGAUAACCUACCUAUAAGACUGGGAUAACUUCGGGAAACCGUAGCUAAUACCGGAUAAUAUUUUGAACCGCAUGGUUCAAAAGUGAAAGACGGUCUUGCUGUCACUUAUAGAUGGAUCCGCGCUGCAUUAGCUAGUUGGUAAGGUAACGGCUUACCAAGGCAACGAUGCAUAGCCGACCUGAGAGAGUGAUCGGCCACACUGGAACUGAGACACGGUCCAGACUCCUACGGGAGGCAGCAGUAGGGAAUCUUCCGCAAUGGGCGAAAGCCUGACGGAGCAACGCCGCGUGAGUGAUGAAGGUCUUCGGAUCGUAAAACUCUGUUAUUAGGGAAGAACAUAUGUGUAAGUAACUGUGCACAUCUUGACGGUACCUAAUCAGAAAGCCACGGCUAACUACGUG